RNAcentral lists this unclassified non-coding RNA (301 nucleotides) under Hevea brasiliensis (rubber tree). The record is from RNAcentral. Lineage: Eukaryota; Viridiplantae; Streptophyta; Magnoliopsida; Malpighiales; Euphorbiaceae.
GCUCUACCUUCUUACCAACCUGCAUGUUUAGAAAGAAUCGUAUGAUGCUUUCCAAAUUUCAAACACCAUCUAUAAUUAAACAGUAGAGAGCAAGACAAUCAGACAUCUAAGCCAAGCAAGUAAAGCAGCUGAAUCUGGCCUUCAGAAAACUUAAAAGGCAGAAGUGGAGGAAAAGUUUUCGCUAUAAGAUAAAGUUGCCACCUUGCUGGGCUUAAAGCGCCCUAAAGACCUCUGAGUAAGUUUCAGAUAGUCACCAAAUGUACAAAUGGAAAGGAAAGUAGUAAUACAUUUUGAGACUCAG